Molecule: ribosomal RNA, 835 nt
Filed under: uncultured crenarchaeote
Lineage: Archaea; Thermoproteati; Thermoproteota
Description: bacterial SSU rRNA
Rfam family: Archaeal small subunit ribosomal RNA
Source: RNAcentral
GACUGCUAGUCGAGCGCCUUCCAGCCACGAAGAAGGCGCGGCACACAGCUCAGUAACACGUGGCUAACCUGCCCUCGGGACGAGAACACCCCCGGGAAACUGGGGCUAAUUCUCGAUAGGCGAAGAACUCUGGAAUGAGUCUUUACCCAAAAGACGUUUAGAUCAUGCUUCUAGGCGUCGCCCAAGGAUGGGGCCGCGACCGAUCAGGUAGUUGGUGAGGCAAUGGCUCACCAAGCCUUUAACCGGUGCGGGCCGUGGGAGCGGGAGCCCGGAGAUGGGCACUGAGACAAGGGCCCAGGCCCUACGGGGCGCAGCAGUCGCGAAAACUUUGCAAUAAGCGAAAGCUUGACAGGGCUAUCCCGAGUGCCAUCCGCUGAGGAAGGCUUUUACCCAGUCUAGUAAGCUGGGGGAAUAAGGAGAGGGCAAGUCUGGUGUCAGCCGCCGCGGUAAUACCAGCUCUCCGAGUGGUGUGGAUGUUUAUUGGGCCUAAAGCAUCCGUAGCUGGCUAGGUAAGUCCCCUGUUAAAUCCACCGAAUUAAUCGUUGGAUCGCGGGGGAUACUGCUUGGCUAGGGGACGAGAGAGGCAGACGGUAUUUUUGGGGUAGGGGUGAAAUCCUAUAAUCCCAGGAAGACCACCAGUGGCGAAGGCUGUCUGCUAGAACGCGCCCGACGGUGAGGGAUGAAAGCUGGGGGAGCGAACCGGAUUAGAUACCCGGGUAGUCCCAGCUGUAAACGAUGCAGACUAGGUGUUUGGACGGCCACGUGCCGUUCUAGUGCCGCAGGAAAGCUGUUAAGUCUGCCGCCUGGGGAGUACGAUCGCAAGAUUGAAACUUAA